GAGGCACUUGACCCCGUACCGACGCAUGUACCUCCACCCCUGGUUUGAGCCAUAUGCUGCAUCUGGUGCCUUAUAUCCAUAUUCUCAGUGUAUAUUUGGUCUAGAGUUAUUCAUCUGGGUAUAUCUAUGAAUAAUGAUGUAAAACAGAGGAUAAAGUGGAGUGAUAACAGAGGAUAAAGUGGAGUUAUUCCAGCAACCUGGAUUCGUUCUGAUACCACUUUGAUGCAUGUAGCGGAUGCAAACAAAGUGGAGUGAUAACAGAUUGUAACUUGACAGCUUUGGGACAAGCUUAAUGCGUGUUUAGUCUUCAAAGCUCAUGAGAACAAUCUGAACAAGAUUAGAAUAAGCCUUGACAGUGUAACCAGAUAGAUAGGAUGAUCGAGAUCACCACACUUUGAUAAAGUUGACAUCACAAAGUGAUAAAGAAACUUGUUGAGCUAAUACCAUACAUGGGUAAAGCUUUCACCACUAGAUUAAAAAACACUCGAAAUCCACCACCAACGGCUCUUCCAAAAAACAAAAGAUAAAAGAAAAUGAUCACCAAAUCACAAAAGGAUCACAAAGAUACUCCAAAUUCUCAAUACUCAAUUGUCUAAUUUGAUUAUAUGAGUAAGAACCUCAUUUUAUAGAGGAUACAAGUGAAAUUCGGCCUUAGAGACUACUUAGCAAAUAAGGAAAACAAUUAUUAAAUGCAUAAAAACUAAAAAAAAAUAUAACAAAAAAUACAGUAUUGAUCAGGACGAAAAUGACAAGAUGUACUUCUUUUUUAGCUCUAAAACUCUCCUAAAGCUUUACUCCAUGAUAUCCAACCCAUAUAAUUGUUAUCCACAUUUUUGACUGCCAGAUUGGGCUAAGAACAACAAUUUUAUAGCUCGCCCGAUAUUUUGUCUUGCUGCUUGUAUUGCUUCUCUUUGUGUCUUUGCUCCCGCACCACGACAAGCGAAGAUGGGGAAGAUUGACUUUUCUGGAUAUGAAAAGUUUCUUCCCUAAUUUUGAAUUGGUUUUUCCAUAAAAGCGUCUUGGUUCGUAUUAAGGGUGCAUGAGAGAUCUGGUUGGUCAUCCUUAGAGUGUUUCAUCUGUAAUAUAGUUGUGGAUAAGGGUCUUGCGUUAUUUGGUCGAGAAUUAGACAGUUUAAGGGUUGUGCGACUAAGUGUUCGAUAUAGGUUGAUAUAGGUUGAUAUAGGUCGGCUCUCCUUAGUUUUUUUUUGUGAUUUAAUGGGUCUUCAGUUGGGAAAGAUGAUCUCUUGGGCUGGUCCAUGCAUUGGUGAAGUUAAAAACAUCAUUUUUGGGCCAAAACUCCAUAAGCUAGGC
RNAcentral lists this long non-coding RNA (1311 nucleotides) under Eutrema salsugineum. RNAcentral describes it as "long non-coding RNA (ESAL_LNC000919)". Lineage: Eukaryota; Viridiplantae; Streptophyta; Magnoliopsida; Brassicales; Brassicaceae. The record is from RNAcentral.